This 60-nucleotide transfer RNA is filed under the name Bacillus sp. FDAARGOS_1420. RNAcentral describes it as "tRNA-OTHER". Lineage: Bacteria; Bacillati; Bacillota; Bacilli; Caryophanales; Bacillaceae. The record is from RNAcentral.
AGGUUGGUUAGAUCACGGCUCAUAACCGUCCGGUCGUAGGUUCGAGUCCUACAAGGUCCA